Long non-coding RNA from Momordica charantia (bitter melon), 2935 nucleotides. RefSeq lists it as uncharacterized. The record is from RefSeq and is a predicted model, not a curated record. Lineage: Eukaryota; Viridiplantae; Streptophyta; Magnoliopsida; Cucurbitales; Cucurbitaceae.
ACCUUUGGCCAUUUGAUGUGUUUUCAAAAAGCUUACAUAACUCCUUUUAGCUCCACUUUUCUCUAAUUUUUUCAUUCUCUAAAAAGAGUCACACCACUCUAUUUCAAGCCUUGAGAAUAGCUAGGAAGAUCUCUUGGUGGUCCUUCAUUGGAGCCAUUUGAAGAUUUUUUAAGAGCUACAAAGGUUUGUAUUUUUCUCUACUUAUCUCUAAGCAUCAUAAUGUAUGAUCCUGCAUGUUUAAUCCUAGGUUGUAUUAUGCAUCUAGAUUGUUAUUUCGAUUCUUGCUCACUUCCGCUGCGCAUGUAUGUAUUUUCUCCAUCAGGAAUUCCAUAUUUAUGCCUCCCACACAUUUGAUACUAGAUUUCACAUUGUAUGCCCUCGCGUCAUUUCUCCACUGCAGCUCUCUACAUUUUCAGUCUCCCAGCUUCCAUAAAUCACAUGAAUCCCUGAAAUAUCUACAUACCCAAACUAUUAAAAUCUUUACAUAAUAAAAUCGCAAAAUCUUAUUUCGAACUUCCAUCUAACUAAUUUUUAUUCUUAAUAUCAUUCAAACUAUUUUAAAAUAUUGUUAAAUUGUCUCCAAUGUAAUCUAAUUAGAAUGUAUUACAAACCUAACCAAUUCGUUAAUAAAUUCCACAGCAAUCACCAUCUUAAAUAUUCUUACACGAGUUUCAUAAAUUCCCAUUUUCGUUAUAUUGGUUGAGAAUUUAAAUCAAGCAACGCGGGAAUACUAUGCAAUUAUUUGUAGCCACGAUUUUACAUGAUGGAAGCUGGGAGGAGAAGGAUAAUUAUCAAGGGUUCAGUAUUGGGCACGUUUCAAUUCCAUUUGGUUCCACCCUACAACAACUCAUUGCAUACAUCUCUAGAGAUCUUCAUUUUCCAGAAGGUAAGAAAAUUACGCGACUUUCAUUGUUCAAAAAUGGUGCGAGCAAGUCAAUCAUUAUGAGGCUAUCAGUAGAUAGGGAUGCAGUGUGGGCCAUAUCCGUUUUGUCGAAUGUCAUGUGCAGCAACUACUGCAUAGUUGUGGAUACUGACCCCGUAUAUAACACCAUCUACGGGGCAGUGUAAGUGUGAACGUCACUUAGAAUGUAGUUUGCCUUAGGAGGAAGAAAUUUAUUUUCAUGGACCCUAUUGAUUUUGAUUGUGCUCCCUUUAAUUUCUCAUUGAAAGAAUUAUGUAUUUUUCAAAAUAAGGAAGAAUUGCAGUUUAAAACAAUCAAAUCAAACUAGAAACAACUGUUUGUAAGGUGAAUCGAAGAAACAUGCAAGUGGUAUAUUCGCUCCUCUCGAUAUGGCAACGAUAAAUUAUGGAUUGUUAGAAAACUUGUACCGAAGAACACAUGUUCAAUUGAUGAUAUUCGCAAUGACUAUACAACGAUAAGUGGAUGUGCGAAGACAAUGUUAAGCAUGAACAACAGGAGACAUUGUAGUCCACGUGACACAUAAUUGAUUACGUUAGGAAGAAGCAUGAAAUCAAUAUUAGUUAUGACAAAGCCUAGAGAGGAAGGGAGAAAGCUUUAAACUCAUUAAGGGGAUCACCUGAAUAGUCGUAUGCUCUCAUCCCGUCGUUUGCAGCUAGGCUGAUCAAGAAAAUCAUGAUACCACGUGUAUCUUUACUGACUCUGUCUUUAUUCUGUCUAUACGCGUAUUUAUCCUAUAUAUGUUUGCAGGGACGUACACAACCCACGAGAUUUAUGGUGAUGGGAGCUUUAAAUUUUUCUUUAUGAGUUUGGCAGCAUCAAUAGAUAGAUGGAAACACUGCCUUCAAGUAUUUUCUAUUGAUAACACAUCCCUAAAAAUAAAUUCCAGGGCACUCUAAUGACGACCUGUACUUUUGAUGGGAACUCCCAAAUAUACCGAUUGGGUUUCGCUAUUGUUAACUCAGAGAAUGAUGCAUCUCGGGAAUGAUGUUUUUUAAAUAUGAAGGUAGCAUUUGGAGAACCGGAAGAUUUAGUUAUAGUGUUCGAUCGACAUAGUAGCAUAUGGAAGGAAGUAAACAAUGUAUACGAUUCUGCACAGUAUGGUAUUUGUGUAUUUCAUUUAUUAAAAGACCUUAAACAACAACAUAGAUGUAAACCUAUUGACCGUUUAUUUCACAUAUGUGCGAACUCAUAUACAUCUGAUGUUUUUGAAUUUUAUAUGAGACAAUUGGAAUAGAUAGUACCACCUAUUACAAGAAAUAGGCUAUCAUAAUUGGACUCGUGCAUUCUCUAUGGAGAACCGCUAUGCCUUAUUGACAAUAAAUAUUUCUGAGAGUUUGAACUCCAUCCUAAAAGAAGCUAAUGAGUUUCCAGUUAUAUAUCUUUUAGAGUAUAUCAGAGAUCUUUUGCAAAAGUGGUUUUAUCCGCGGAUGUCGUUUUCUAAUUUUUAACAAGUACAUAUCAGGCCAUGAACUGCGAAAGUACUACGCUCCAUACUUGAAAGGGAGUCGCACAAUAGAUGUAUACUCAGUUAAUGAUCAUCAGUUCAGAAUCCAAGUACGAAGCAAGCAAUAUGAAGUUAAUAUUCUUAACCGUACAUGCACAUGUAGACAAUCAGACUUAAACUUGAUCCCAUGCCCACAUGCAUGUCUUGCUAUUGGUCGGAGAGUGUUGAAUUUAAAUAUGUUUGUUUAUGAUUUCUAUGAAGUGUCAACAUUGUAAUUACUAUAUUAGAGCAACAUACAUCCAAUUGGUCAAACUUACAACAUGACCUCAACAUUUGGUCAACACGAGACAUACAUCAUACCUCCAAACUUAAAGUGUUCUGUUGGUAGGCCACGAAAAAAGAGACUUCUUGCUCCUAUUGAAAAGAGGUCGACAGUAAAGUGUGGUAGAUGUGGUUGGUUAUGACACAAUCGGAGACGGUGUAAGAACUCAAUCUGACAUUAAUUUGCCUAUUCUCAUUUGUAAGCUUUACUGCCUAUUUGAUAAUAAACAGUAAGGGUUAUUUUGUUA